RNAcentral lists this long non-coding RNA (1478 nucleotides) under Salvia miltiorrhiza (redroot sage). RNAcentral describes it as "long non-coding RNA (SMIL_LNC005167)". The record is from RNAcentral. Lineage: Eukaryota; Viridiplantae; Streptophyta; Magnoliopsida; Lamiales; Lamiaceae.
GUCCUAAGAUUUUAUUUCAAUCUUUCACGCAUCUUGUGGCGAGACUAAACUUUCAACAUAGGCAUGUGGACUGUAAAGGCGUUUCUCAUGGCCGCGGAACACAUUAUUCUGAUGAUCGUAAACCAACACGACGGAUAAACCAUUCACCAAAAUCUCUCCAUUUAGACCCACCACCAAUGGUGCUGGCUGAAGAAGCUCAACAAGAUUAGCAAACGUCGCCACCCUCUUCCAAGUUUCCUUCAUAACCCAAACUCCAAAGACUUCUGUAGACAAGCCAAUAUAACAUAGCACACAAAGUAAGCCACCAAGCAAACCCACAGCCCAAUGCUCUUUCUUGCAAAACUCGUGAUCAUGGUACACUAGGAUCUUAAAUGCAGUAGUGGAACAGGUGAUGUUCUCUCUACAAAUUAAAAAUUAUUCACUUGAGAAACAAAACGCAAUCAUUUAUGCUUAAUCAAAUCAAACUAUAUAUAACUGAACAUAAUUGUCAAGAAAUAGCAUGCAAUGAAAUCACUCAUGAUCAUGUCCUAAGAUUUUAUUUCAAUCUUUCACACAUCUUCUGGCAAGACUAAGCUUUCAACAUAGACAUGUGGACUGUAAUAGUGUGUCUCAUGGCAGCGGAACACAUUAUCCUGACAAUCGUAAACCAACAAGAUGGAUUCCCAGUUUACCAAAAUCUCUCCAUUUAGACCCAUCACCAAUGGCGCUGGCUGAAGAAGCUCAGCAAGAGUAGCAAACGUCGCCACCCUCUUCCAAGCUUCCUUCAUAACCCAAACUCCAAAGGCUAAUUCACUAAGCAGGCCAAUAAAACAUAGCACACAAAGUAAGCCACCAAGCACACCCACAGCCCAGUGCUCUUUCUUGCAAAACUCGUGAUCAAAGGGAAGCUCAAUCCUUCCAAACACCUCACUCUUCAAGUCCAAGAAAAUAAUAUCUAUCUAUUUAUCUUUCUUCCAGUAAAGCUUCCCACCUGCAAAUAUCCCCCGUCCAAAAUGUGAAGCUAAAUCUGCACAGUGCUCACUUGUUUUCCAUGAUUUUGUCCUUGAACUAUAAACUUUACAAUCUCUAUUAUCAACACUCACAAACAACUUGUACUCAUCACUCGAUUCAACCCAACCGAACCCCAAAGCCGUAAAAGUAUUAGAAAUUUCUGGCAGUAUCUUGGAGAUUCUAGUGGAUGGGUUCCACAACUGAAAUCUACCUUGAAAGUCACGAAUGCAGAGCAGCCCAUUACAACUCCCAAUAAUUUCAAAUUGCAUCAAUGUAGGUAAAGGAGAUACAGGGAUCGUUAGUUCGCUCAAAAUCGACAGCGGAAAACAUUGCACAGGUUUCUCAGAAGGAUCAUUAUAUGUAAUGACCCUUUGAUAGGGGAAAGAUGGGUUUUUUUAUUGAAUUUCGAUACUGGGUUUCGAUGAAACGUUUGUUGCCAAUUAGAGAGCACCAUGAUUUUGAAACGCACCUGAAUCUCAAGAGUGAUU